This 86-nucleotide non-coding RNA is filed under the name Oxalobacter paraformigenes. RNAcentral describes it as "Oxalobacter formigenes HOxBLS sRNA-Xcc1". It matches the Rfam family "sRNA-Xcc1". Lineage: Bacteria; Pseudomonadati; Pseudomonadota; Betaproteobacteria; Burkholderiales; Oxalobacteraceae. The record is from Rfam by way of RNAcentral.
GGGCGGGAGUGGGCUAAUACAAUACCCGAAAGGGAAAUAUGCCCAGCAGUUGGUACGACUGUGUUUUAGCUCCCGCCCGACCUUCC